RNAcentral lists this unclassified non-coding RNA (217 nucleotides) under soil metagenome. RNAcentral describes it as "partial contains 5.8S ribosomal RNA, internal transcribed spacer 2, and large subunit ribosomal RNA". The record is from RNAcentral.
AACCUUAUGGACCUGCGGGCGUAUACCUGCGGAAGGAUCAUUACAGAGUUAUCCAACUCCCAAACCCAUGUGAACUUAUCUCUUUGUUGCCUCGGCGCAAGCUACCCGGGACCCCGCGCCCCGGGCGGCCCGCCGGCGGACAAACCAAAACUCUUGUUAUCUUAGUUGAUUCUCUGAGCGUCUUAUUUAAUAAGUCAAAACUUUCAGCAACGGAUCU